GACGAACGCUGGCGGCGCGCUUAACACAUGCAAGUCGAGCGAGAACCAGUCCCUUCGGGGGCUGGGGACAGCGGCGAACGGGUGAGUAACACGUGGGUAAUCUGCCCUCGGCACCGGAAUAGCCCGGGGAAACCCGGAUUAAUGCCGGAUGGCCUCUCGAGCUCUCGAGCUCGCGAGAAAAGGUAGCUUCGGCCUCCGGCCGAGGAUGAGCCCGCGGCCGAUUAGCUUGUUGGUGGGGUAAUGGCUCACCAAGGCGACGAUCGGUAGCUGGUCUGAGAGGACGAUCAGCCACACUGGGACUGAGACACGGCCCAGACGCCUACGGGAGGCAGCAGUGGGGAAUCUUGCGCAAUGGGCGAAAGCCUGACGCAGCGACGCCGUGUGCGGGAAGAAGGCCUUCGGGUUGUAAACCGCUUUCAGGAGGGACGAAGCCACUCAGGUUAAUAGCCGAGAGGGUGACGGUACCUCCAGAAGAAGCCCCGGCUAACUACGUGCCAGCCGCCGCCGUAA
RNAcentral lists this ribosomal RNA (510 nucleotides) under uncultured bacterium. Its description in RNAcentral is "bacterial SSU rRNA". It matches the Rfam family "Bacterial small subunit ribosomal RNA", at positions 28 to 523 of the family's 1533-position model. The record is from RNAcentral.